CCUACUGGUGGCAGCAGUGGGGAAUAUUGCACAAUGGGCGAAAGCCUGAUGCAGCAACGCCGCGUGAAGGAAGACAGUUUUCGGAUUGUAAACUUCUUUCAAUAGGGAAGAACGAAAUGACGGUACCUAAAUAAGAAGCCCCGGCUAACUACGUGCCAGCAGCCGCGGUAAUACGUAGGGGGCAAGCGUUAUCCGGAAUUACUGGGUGUAAAGGGAGAGUAGGCGGCAAGGUAAGCGAUAUGUGAAAGCCUUAAGCUUAACUAAAGGAUUGCAUAACGAACUAUCUAGAUAGAGUACAGGAGAGGAAAGCGGAAUUCCGAGUGUAGCGGUGAAAUGCGUAGAUAUUAGGAAGAACACCAGUGGCGAAGGCGGCUUUCUGGACUGAAACUGACGCUGAGGCUCGAAAGCGUGGGGAGCGAACAGGAUUAGAUACCCCGGUAGUC
Molecule: ribosomal RNA, 443 nt
Filed under: uncultured bacterium
Lineage: Bacteria
Description: partial 16S ribosomal RNA
Rfam family: Bacterial small subunit ribosomal RNA
Source: RNAcentral